This 253-nucleotide ribosomal RNA is filed under the name uncultured bacterium. RNAcentral describes it as "partial 16S ribosomal RNA". It matches the Rfam family "Bacterial small subunit ribosomal RNA", at positions 524 to 776 of the family's 1533-position model. The record is from RNAcentral.
UACGGGGGGGGCAAGCGUUGUUCGGAAUUACUGGGCGUAAAGGGCUUGUAGGUGGCCAACUAAGUCAGACGUGAAAUCCCUCGGCUUAACCGGGGAACUGCGUCUGAUACUGGAUGGCUCGAGUGUGGGAGAGGGAUGCGGAAUUCCAGGUGUAGCGGUGAAAUGCGUAGAUAUCUGGAGGAACACCGGUGGCGAAGGCGGCAUCCUGGACCGGUAUUGACGCUGAGGCGCGAAAGCCAGGGGAGCAAACGGG